Sus scrofa (pig) is the source of this 3918-nucleotide long non-coding RNA. RefSeq annotates it as phosphatidylinositol-3,5-bisphosphate 3-phosphatase MTMR6. Lineage: Eukaryota; Metazoa; Chordata; Mammalia; Artiodactyla; Suidae. The record is from RefSeq and is a predicted model, not a curated record.
UUUGCGGAAGUGUUUCCAGGAGACGGUGGGCGGGCUGCGCGUGCGCCUGGGGGCGGCCGGCCGGAGGUGGUCUGCCGGGUCAGGGGCGCCGCCGCCCGGGUCCUCCGCUCCAUGGUGCGCUGGUGCGGCAGCCGGCGGACGCGUCCUCGGGAUGGAGCACAUCCGUACGACCAAGGUUGAGCAGGUGAAGUUACUUGACCGGUUCAGCACCAGCAGCAAGUCCUUGACGGGCACCCUGUACCUCACGGCCACACACCUGCUGUUCAUAGACUCGCAUCAGAAGGAAACCUGGAUCCUGCACCACCACAUCGCCUCGGUGGACAAGCUGGCUCUGACGACGGCCGGGUGCCCGCUGGUGAUUCAGUGCAAGAACUUCCGCAUCGUGCAUUUCGUCGUGCCCCGGGAGAGGGACUGCCACGACGUCUACAACUCCCUGCUGCAGCUGUCCAAACAAGCUAAAUACGAAGAUCUGUACGCCUUCUCUUAUAAUCCCCAACAAAAUGAGUCUGAACGGCAGCGAGGCUGGCAGCUCCUGGACCUGGCUGAGGAGUACAAGCGGAUGGGGCUGCCCAAUUCCAACUGGCAGCUGUCUGAUGCCAACCGCGACUACAAGAUUUGCGAGACUUACCCCAGGGACCUCUACGUUCCGCGGAUAGCGAGCAAACCCAUCAUUGUGGGCAGUUCCAAGUUCCGCAGCAAGGGUCGCUUCCCGGUCCUGUCCUACUACCAUCAGGCCAAGGAGGCGGCCAUUUGCCGGUGCAGUCAGCCGCUGUCGGGCUUCAGCGCCCGGUGCCUGGAGGAUGAGCACUUGCUUCAGGCCAUCAGCAAAGCCACCCCGGCCAACCGCUUCAUGUACGUCAUGGACACCAGGCCCAGGCUGAAUGCAAUGGCCAACAGAGCAGCGGGAAAAGGUUAUGAAAACGAAGACAACUAUUCUAAUAUUAGAUUUCAGUUUGUUGGAAUUGAAAAUAUCCAUGUCAUGCGGUCCAGCCUCCAGAAAUUAUUGGAAGUGAACGGAACCAAAGGCCUUUCCGUCAACGAUUUCUACUCCGGCCUGGAGAGCUCGGGGUGGCUGCGCCACAUCAAAGCCGUCCUGGAUGCUGCCAUCUUCCUUGCCCGAGCCAUCGUGGUGGAGAGCGCGAGUGUGCUGGUGCACUGCUCCGACGGCUGGGACAGGACUGCCCAGGUGUGCUCCCUCGGCUCCCUCUUACUGGACCCCUACUACAGGACCCUCCGAGGAUUCCUGGUUUUAAUAGAAAAGGAUUGGAUCUCCUUUGGACAUAAAUUUUCAGAGAGGUGUGGCCAUUUGGACGGCGACCCGAAGGAAGUGUCACCCGUGUUCACUCAGUUCCUGGAGUGCGUGUGGCACCUGACCGAGCAGUUCCCACAGGCCUUCGAGUUCAAUGAAGCGUGUCUCCUCCAGAUCCACGAGCACGUUCACUCCUGCCAGUUCGGGAACUUUCUCGGAAAUUGUCAGAAGGAACAAGAAGAGCUCAAGCUGAAGGAGAAGACCUACUCCCUGUGGCCGCUUCUCCUGGACGACCAGAGGCCCUACUUGAACCCCCUCUACAGCCCCCGGGCCCAGGUGGCUGCCGCUUUGGAGCCGAAUACAGUGUCCUUCAAUUUUAAGUUUUGGAGAAACAUGUACCACCAGUUUGAUCGAACACUGCAUCCUAGGCAGUCUGUGUUGAAUAUAAUUAUGAAUAUGAGCGAGCAGACUAAGCAGCUGGAGAAAGAUGUCAAAGACUUAGAAUCCCAACUUAACAAGCAGCGUAAAAAUAAGCACGCAGAUGGAGUUCUCACCAAGGAAUUGCUGAAUUCGGUUCGACCUGAAUCACCUACCCUCAAAACCUCCUUGUGCUUUAAGGAACAGACUCUGCUGCCUGGCAAUGCUGCCCUUCGAACUAUAGAGGGCAGCAACCCCGCGGAUAACCGCUACAGCGAAUACGCCGAAGAGUUUUCCAAGUCGGAGCCUGCGGUGGUCAGCUUGGAGUAUGGCGUGGCCAGGAUGACCUGUUAGGCUCCGAGGGUGUUUUCUGGACCGAGUGCAGGGCGAGCCCUGGGUUGUUGUGAGGGAGGGCUGUGCGCGUGCCCCAGAGGGAUGUGCCCAGCGGGAGGUGAGGGGUUGGAGGAAGAGAAAACUGCUCUCGGGAGAGACGCCCGUCACGGUAAUUGCAUUUCUAGCAAGGAACGAAUGACUUUUGACUCUUGAAGAAGCAGCUGGUGUUGGCCAGUUGACUCCAGACACGGUCUGUACUGUGUACUGGUGCGCAGACACGCCGGGGUGGUUUCCAUGUCAUGGGCAGCCGCAGCGCCCAGCCCUCCCGGAGACCAUCCUGCCAGAAGGCGAAGCUGACGUGCGAAUUGACGGGGCUUGUGCUUUCAAUGAUGUGACUCAGACUCUUUGCAAAAUUUGCCUCUUAGUGAUGUUUCAUGUCCAAGUGCCAGGGAACGUGUUUCUAAGAAAGCCUUAAAAUCUCAGCGUGUUUGUUCCAUGCACUGUUGAAGUUCCGUGGCCUGCAGCAGGAAGGGUUUGUGCGGCCCUGCUCCCCGCCGAGGGGCUCCCGUGCCAACGGUGGACGACCUCACCUGCCGAGCCCACCUGCCCAGCUCACCAUGGCUCCUCCCACUUCCACAGUCAGAAAGAGUGAAACCGCAGGUUGUAUUCUGGUUCUGUGUUCCGUGACUUAUUAUUUACAAGAUAGAGGAUGGAUUUCUUGAAUAUGUAAAGCCCAUUUGACGGUCUUGUACGAGUGCAUUACUGCAUCCUGUCGGAUCCUUAUUUUGGGGUUGGCCUUAUUAUUCUGAAAACUAAGUUAAAAAAACGAAAUCUCUAAACUGUUCUUAGAAGCAAUGACGAGUACCUGUAUGUACUAAGGGCACAUCUAUAUUUUUAAACUGUUGUCUCAGUGAAUUGCUCUUCCUAGAAGAAACUUUCAGUUUAUCUAAGAAUUUCUGGGUUAAAAAAAAUAGUGCAGUUAGUUUAGAUUUUGCUUCAUUGCAUGGAUUUUUCCCUGUGAAAUAUUUUUUCUUCUCUGUUAACAUAGAAGGGGAAAAAAAAAAAGAAUUAAGGGCCGCCUAAUACAAAGUUAAAUGUUUUAACGAAAACCCUUAAAUGCUAGGAAGUUUCCUCUGGCCAUGUUACGUUAACUGUUUAUUCUCUGUACAUAGCAUUAACUUACCAGGGAAAAGAGAAUGAGAAAAGAAAGAAAAAAUCGCUUUCAAUUGAUAACGUCACCAAGCUGGCUUUAAAAUGGAAAAUUUAACCCGGGUGGCACAAGAUGGGCUUAAAGAGUACGAGGAAAUCUGCUUCGGAUCCCCUUAGGCUUCUUUUCAUUACCCCUCUGUCUCUUCCAUUGGUUUCGAACGCGAACACGUAUCUUUUUCAAAGGGAAAAAAAGCUUUAUUGUAUGAGCUUUACCUAAUCCUAUUUAUUUUUGCAGUACUUUUCUGUGACGCAUUAUGUAAUGAGAAAAAUACUUCUUUUUAAACAGUAAGAGAAACGUGCUAUAAAAUACAGUUUGUGACUUAGCCAAGCCUGUUUCCAUAUUCAAGCCCUGGGACAGGGAACUGAAUCUUCGUGACCACAAGGGAAGCUCUCGUGCCUUGUUACUUGGUUCCAGUUACUGAUUGUGGUUCUAGAAUCUUCCAUGACAGGCUUCUCAUGUUCAGCUCUUUGGUUUAUUUCCUUAAUCUUCAACUCGAGGCGUAUACAUGCGUGUCUACGUGCUCACACGUGACCUGAGACACUAGCUAACACCCGAAGUGACCUGCAGGCUCUGUGUUGGCAAAACACAGAUUGAUUGUGUAUGUGUCUUAAAAGAUUGGAUUUGUGUUCAGUGUGUUUGGGAGGGUAUAGCAUGUACAUUAUUACAUAUGUUAUUUAAUGGUCAUUAAACGCUCACGUUUUACUUUGGA